AGUGUCAGUAUCUUUGUGUGUUAAUGUGAGUGUCUAGCUGUAUGUGUGUUAGUGCUAGGGUCUUGUUGUUUUAGUAUGACUGCCUGGAUGAGUGUGUAAGUAUGAGUUUCUAUGUGCAUGUGUGUUAGUGUGGCCGUCUCUGUGCAUAUGAGUUAGAAGAUGUGUUGUUUUGAGUGUCUGGGUAUGUAUGAGUUAGUGUGAGUGUCAGGGUGUGCAUGUUAGUGAGUGUCUGGUUAUGUUAUUUUAAGUGCCCCUCCCAAGAUUAGGCUCUGGAUCUGCCCCAGAUUUUGAAAAGCUACAGUGACGGGACCACUUCACAUAAAACUCAAUUUUUACAUACAAAUCUCUUUGUCAAAAUUAUUGGAGUCAUCAAAUACAAAGAGAAUGUGAGGUUGAAUUUAUUUCCUGCUAGUGAUCAUGAAAUCGUGGUAAUAUAUUUCCCAAAAUGAAAUUUUAAGGCAAGACAAUUUGAACCCCAGGCUUAAUUAUGCAAUUUUUACCAUAUUUUAUCACAAUUUUCACAGCUGUGCCAAGGCAACAGAUUGAAGCCGGAAGUUACAAAAAAAAGAAAA
Molecule: long non-coding RNA, 572 nt
Organism: Spea bombifrons (plains spadefoot toad)
Lineage: Eukaryota; Metazoa; Chordata; Amphibia; Anura; Pelobatidae
Exons: 2
Source: RefSeq, a predicted model, not a curated record